RNAcentral lists this long non-coding RNA (359 nucleotides) under Piliocolobus tephrosceles (Ugandan red Colobus). Its description in RNAcentral is "lncRNA (ENSPTEG00000022629.1)". Lineage: Eukaryota; Metazoa; Chordata; Mammalia; Primates; Cercopithecidae. The record is from RNAcentral.
UCAUUGGUUCUUUCCUCCUGUCUCUAACAGGACCCUGCUCCUACCCACAAAGUGCUCUCUUUUAUUUUCUGGAGUCUCCUGUGCUGCUGAUGACGGUAGAGCUUUUGAAGUGUCACUGCUGCUCAAGAGUUCUGGAACCCUUACUGCCAAAGAGGCUGAAAUAAUAAUGGAUGCUACUCAGAUACAUCUACAAAAAAAUGGUCGUUCAACUCUUGGAGUUCAGCACUGGGCAGAUCAGUUUCAAACACUUUACUAGCACAAAUUAAUUUGCAUAACAAGAAGAAAUACACAAAAAAUUAUAAGGAAAACUCAAAGACUAAGAUGAAUAUAUGCUACUAUUCAAUGGAGUUAUGGACUGG